GAUGAACGCUGGCGGCGUGCCUAAUACAUGCAAGUCGAGCGAACAGACAAGGAGCUUGCUCCUUUGACGUUAGCGGCGGACGGGUGAGUAACACGUGGGUAACUUACCUAUAAGACUGGGAUAACUUCGGGAAACCGGAGCUAAUACCGGAUAAUAUUUCGAACCGCAUGGUUCGAUAGUGAAAGAUGGUUUUGCUAUCACUUAUAGAUGGACCCGCGCCGUAUUAGCUAGUUGGUAAGGUAACGGCUUACCAAGGCGACGAUACGUAGCCGACCUGAGAGGGUGAUCGGCCACACUGGAACUGAGACACGGUCCAGACUCCUACGGGAGGCAGCAGUAGGGAAUCUUCCGCAAUGGGCGAAAGCCUGACGGAGCAACGCCGCGUGAGUGAUGAAGGUCUUCGGAUCGUNAAACUCUGUUAUUAGGGAAGAACAUACAUGUAAGUAACUAUGCACGUCUUGACGGUACCUAAUCAGAAAGCCACGGCUAACUACGUGCCAGCAGCCGCGGUAAUACGUAGGUGGGCAGCGUUAUCCGGGAUUAUUGGGCGUAAAGCGCGCGUAGGCGGUUUUUUAGUCUGAUGUGAAAGCCCACGGCUCAACUCGUGGAGGGUCAUUGGAAACUGUAAAACUUGAGUGCAGAAGAGGAAAGUGGAAUUCCAUGUGUAGCGGUGAAAUGCGCAGAGAUAUGGAGGAACACCAGUGGCGAAGGCGACUUUCUGGUCUGUAACUGACGCUGAUGUGCGAAAGCGUGGGGAUCAAACAGGAUUAGAUACCCUGGUAGUCCACGCCGUAAACGAUGAGUGCUAAGUGUUAGGGGGUUUCCGCCCCUUAGUGCUGCAGCUAACGCAUUAAGCACUCCGCCUGGGGAGUACGACCGCAAGGUUGAAACUCAAAGGAAUUGACGGGGACCCGCACAAGCGGUGGAGCAUGUGGUUUAAUUCGAAGCAACGCGAAGAACCUUACCAAAUCUUGACAUCCUUUGACAACUCUAGAGAUAGAGCCUUCCCCUUCGGGGGACAAAGUGACAGGUGGUGCAUGGUUGUCGUCAGCUCGUGUCGUGAGAUGUUGGGUUAAGUCCCGCAACGAGCGCAACCCUUAAGCUUAGUUGCCAUCAUUAAGUUGGGCACUCUAAGUUGACUGCCGGUGACAAACCGGAGGAAGGUGGGGAUGACGUCAAAUCAUCAUGCCCCUUAUGAUUUGGGCUACACACGUGCUACAAUGGACAAUACAAAGGGCAGCGAAACCGCGAGGUCAAGCAAAUCCCAUAAAGUUGUUCUCAGUUCGGAUUGUAGUCUGCAACUCGACUACAUGAAGCUGGAAUCGCUAGUAAUCGUAGAUCAGCAUGCUACGGUGAAUACGUUCCCGGGUCU
RNAcentral lists this ribosomal RNA (1372 nucleotides) under uncultured bacterium. RNAcentral's name for it is "bacterial SSU rRNA". It matches the Rfam family "Bacterial small subunit ribosomal RNA", at positions 28 to 1381 of the family's 1533-position model. The record is from RNAcentral.